GAUGAACGCUGGCGGUAUGCCUAACACAUGCAAGUCGAACGAACCCUUCGGGGUUAGUGGCGGACGGGUGAGUAACACGUGAGAACCUACCUUCAGAACGGGGACAACCGUUGGAAACGACUGCUAAUACCCGAUGUGCCGAGAGGUGAAAGAUUUAUCGUCUGAAGAUGGGCUCGCGUCUGAUUAGCUAGUUGGGGGUGUAAGAGACCACCAAGGCGACGAUCAGUAGCUGGUCUGAGAGGAUGAGCAGCCACACUGGGACUGAGGCACGGCCCAGACUCCUACGGGAGGCAGCAGUGGGGAAUUUUCCGCAAUGGGCGAAAGCCUGACGGAGCAAUACCGCGUGAGGGAGGAAGGUCUUUGGAUUGUAAACCUCUUUUAUCAGGGAAGAAGAACUGACGGUACCUGAUGAAUAAGCAUCGGCUAACUCCGUGCCAGCAGCCGCCGUAAAAC
Molecule: ribosomal RNA, 453 nt
Filed under: uncultured bacterium
Lineage: Bacteria
Description: bacterial SSU rRNA
Rfam family: Bacterial small subunit ribosomal RNA
Source: RNAcentral